AAAUUAAUGGCUAUUAAUAACUAGAUGGCGCUACUUGUCAUUGUUUACAUUGUCAUUGUCAAAAUGCUUGAAAGUUGUGUUUAACAAAUUUGUUAUUUUUUUGUGUAAAAUCGGCUUAAUUGAUUGUGGUGAGUAUCGUUUCGAAGUUAUUUCGAUGUUUUCUUCAUUUUAGAAACUUAUUUUUAUGUAAAAACUUUAAUCGACAAAAUUCGUUUUAAAUGAAGCACAAAGAGAACAAUAUCAUUGAUUAAGAAGAGAUGACACCUCAGUGUUUAGGAUCAACUUUAAAGUUCACUUAAAGGUGAAAUUAUUAAAAUGAAAGUCCGUUUGGGAUUGCUUGAAUGAUUAUUUUUAAGUGUGUGCGCUUAAAGAAAGCGUUUAGAUUAAAUCGGGGCGUUUGGAGACGGCUCAAAAGAUUGGAGAGACGAAUUUGGCUCUAUUUGGAAGCGACCCACGCGGUUAAAUUAAUAGGAUUCUCUGAUUUCGAAGAAUAUUUUCCAAAUUUGAAUCAUUUCUUCUUUAUUAAUACUCGUGACCUCAAUGAUGUUGUUACAAAGUAUGAUAAGUUCUAAAAUAUAACUUGGUUAAUCAGCUGAGGCAUUUGGUUUAUGUUGUUAGUGUAUAUUGUUGAUAUUUCUGACCCUUUUAGUAUUGAUAAUGACGAAGAACACUUUGUGGAAUAUGACAUAACACUCAGAUUAAGCAAAGUAGAGACUGAGAGAAGAAUGUAACACAUUUUCCUUAAGAAUUUACAACGUGGUCAGUUUAUCUACUAAUCUGGUGCUUCAUCUAUUAUGGUAGUGUUUUUCGAAAAUCUCAUAAUACACCAAGAUUGAUAAACCAAGUUGGUUUAUUUUUAAAUCUAAUCUCUUUUUUUAGAAAGAAUCUCGACCACCUGUCAAAAACAUCUGUCCCUCUUCACAUCGAGCCGUAAAAAAAUAUAGAGAAAAUAGGAGGUGGGCGGUCGAAAAAAGGGGGCGAAAACAACGUAGGGGACGAAAUCGGGAAAAAGAGUCACGCCCUCGAACCCCCACCGAUAACAACCCUUGGAAAAUAAAUUCAACGUGAAACGGAAAAAUUUUAUUUGAAAUACUUCACAGAAGACGAUAUUGAUGAAAUUGAAGCACCGAGACAAUGCUGUGUAUAUACAAAAGAGACGGAGGCUGAGGGAGGCCAAGGCUCGAUAUGGGCUGUAGAGCCAUAAAUGAAUGAUGUCCAGUAUAUAAAAGUUAGUAGAUUUAAUACUUGCUAUAUUCUUUGUAUUAUUAUUUGUUAAUCAACUUUGGGUUGAUAUGGUGCUUAGUAUACAUUUAGCCGAGGUCGCUUGCGGCCGAGGCAUGGGAUGUGUUGACCAAUUUCGAAUGGAUUUGACUUUAAUUGCAUCGCCUUAAUUGCAGAUGAUCUCAGUUUCAUCAAGCUAAAUAACACAUUCGAUGCUUCUAGCUUUGCCGAGGUCGCUUGCGGCCGAGGCAUUACAUUAUUUGUUAACCAACUUUGGGUUGA
Onthophagus taurus is the source of this 1503-nucleotide non-coding RNA. NCBI's taxonomy places the organism in Eukaryota, Metazoa, Arthropoda, Insecta, Coleoptera, Scarabaeidae. The record is from RefSeq and is a predicted model, not a curated record.